Molecule: ribosomal RNA, 395 nt
Filed under: uncultured bacterium
Lineage: Bacteria
Description: partial 16S ribosomal RNA
Rfam family: Bacterial small subunit ribosomal RNA
Source: RNAcentral
AUACGUAGGGUGCAAGCGUUAAUCGGAAUUACUGGGCGUAAAGCGUGCGCAGGCGGUUUUGUAAGACAGAGGUGAAAUCCCCGGGCUCAACCUGGGAACUGCCUUUAUGACUGCAAGGCUAGAGUACGGCAGAGGGGGAUGGAAUUCCGCGUGUAGCAGUGAAAUGCGUAGAUAUGCGGAGGAACAUCGAUGGCGAAGGCAAUCCCCGGGGCCUGUACUGACGCUCAUGCACGAAAGCGUGGGGAGCAAACAGGAUUAGAUACCCUGAUAGUCCACGCCCUAAACGAUGUCAACUGGUUGUUGGGUCUUCAUUGACUCAGUAACGAAGCUAACGCGUGAAGUUGACCGCCUGGGGAGUACGGCCGCAAGGUUGAAACUUAAAGGAAUUGACGGGG